Molecule: ribosomal RNA, 64 nt
Filed under: uncultured Mycoplasma sp.
Lineage: Bacteria; Bacillati; Mycoplasmatota; Mollicutes; Mycoplasmatales; Mycoplasmataceae
Description: partial 16S ribosomal RNA
Source: RNAcentral
GGUCUUCUGAUUGUAAAGUUCUUUUAUUUAGGAAAAAAGCGCGCCUUGAUGGUACUAAUUGAAU